RNAcentral lists this ribosomal RNA (465 nucleotides) under Vreelandella stevensii. RNAcentral describes it as "partial 16S ribosomal RNA". It matches the Rfam family "Bacterial small subunit ribosomal RNA", at positions 338 to 795 of the family's 1533-position model. The record is from RNAcentral. Lineage: Bacteria; Pseudomonadati; Pseudomonadota; Gammaproteobacteria; Oceanospirillales; Halomonadaceae.
CCUACGGGCGGCAGCAGUGGGUAAUAUUGGACAAUGGGCGAAAGCCUGAUCCAGCCAUGCCGCGUGUGUGAAGAAGGCCUUCGGGUUGUAAAGCACUUUCAGUGGGGAAGAAAGCCUUGGGGCUAAUACCCUCGAGGAAGGACAUCACCCACAGAAGAAGCACCGGCUAACUCCGUGCCAGCAGCCGCGGUAAUACGGAGGGUGCGAGCGUUAAUCGGAAUUACUGGGCGUAAAGCGCGCGUAGGCGGUCUGAUAAGCCGGUUGUGAAAGCCCCGGGCUCAACCUGGGAACGGCAUUCGGAGCUGGGUGGCUAGCGUCUUGUAGAGGGGGGUAUAAUUCCCGGUGUGGCAGUGAAAUGCGUAGAGAACUGGAGGAAUGCCGGUGGCGCAGGAGGCCCCCUGGACCAAUAAUGCCGCUCAGGUGCCAAAGCGUGUGCAGCACACAGGAUUAGAUACCCUUGUAGUC